Molecule: small nuclear RNA, 106 nt
Organism: Stegodyphus dumicola
Lineage: Eukaryota; Metazoa; Arthropoda; Arachnida; Araneae; Eresidae
Source: RefSeq, a predicted model, not a curated record
GUAUUUGCUUUGACAAUACAUAUAUUAAAACUGGAACGAUAAGAAAAGAUUAGCAUGGUUUAUGCCUAAGGAUGACACGCAAAAUCAUAACUCAAAAUAAAUUAGC